Paramuricea clavata is the source of this 662-nucleotide non-coding RNA. The record is from the annotation of a GenBank genome assembly. Lineage: Eukaryota; Metazoa; Cnidaria; Anthozoa; Malacalcyonacea; Plexauridae.
ACAAUUGCAACGGCUGUGCCAAACAGGUUGAAACAGUGAUAUAGUAUGCCAGCCUGUUCGAUUUAACCAGCUGUCUGCCUCAAGCGUCUUCACUCAUUCAUUCUCUUCUUAGUCUCCCUUAUCCUUUCCUUGUUUUGUGAUCAGCUUGUUUUAUAUUUAUUUUCUUCUACAAAUAUACGGAGUCUUUCAAUGCGCAUACAAUUAAAAUUCCUGAAAUUGAAUUUACGUUGCCAGGAAAAUGUAUAAAUAUGUCAAUGACAAUAUGUAAACACAGUAGAAAUUAAUUGAAACUGCAACUUUUCAGCGCGUCUUUUAUCUCCUUUCGUGGUCUUUUAUCUCCUCCGUCAGACCAGGAAGAUUGUAAACAGGUUUAACCACCAUUGCAAUAUUCAGAUCCUCCGCAAAAUAACUGCACGUUUUCCAAAACAAUGGCUACGUUAAUUUACUUUUUUUCGCAACAGUAAUUUAAUUUCAAUUGUAUAUAUGAUCACCCGUUCAGUUUGUUCAUCCAAAUGUCCGCGAUUUAGCCUCUUUAAAAAAAUACAAAAGUGUUGAAUCACGUUGAAUUUCCCCUCGCAAAAAAUUUCACCUGCGCGUUUUUUUUUUUAAUAAGAAGUAGUAUUUUUGAGAAUAUAACAAUUUAGGUCUUUAUAUACAGGUUC